UUACAACCAUAUCAAGUUGAAACACUGGUUCUUGUUCAGUCACUGAAGUUCAGCAAUGUUGAGUCUGGUCAGUACUUAGAUGGGUGACUGGUUGGGAACACUAAGUGCUGUAAG
Non-coding RNA from Acanthosepion pharaonis, 114 nucleotides. The record is from the annotation of a GenBank genome assembly. Lineage: Eukaryota; Metazoa; Mollusca; Cephalopoda; Sepiida; Sepiidae.